CUCCUGGACUGGGUGGUGCCAGCCACAGGCAGGGCAUCUGCUUUCUGGGCCCUCGCUCUGUCUCACCGGGGACACCCACAGGCACACCAGGAAUGAGGUCUCAUCCGGCAACACAGAUUUAACACACAUGCACAAAACGUGGGAUCGCCACUUGGCUAAAAGAUCUUGAAAGAAUAUCUCAGGGCCGUGCCUUACUGUGUGAGCUCCCGAAAUCAAGAUUUCAUUUGUUCGACACCUGUAGCUCCAUGAGAGAGAUGGCAGCUCAGCCUGCCCCUCUGCUUUCUCUCCUGCAGAGAACGUCGUGCCUGGCAAUCCUAAGCACUGCUGGAUGGAUGGAUGAACAAACGGGAAGAUGGACUGGGCCAGAUUCUCAGAGUGUUUAAGCAGGACACGAGCAUGCCUGUGCUUCUGCCCCGCAGACAUUUACCCGGGACUUCUGCCUAACGGUUGACUGCCAUGCCUACGUGUGGAAUUCGGUCCGUUGAUGUCUCCUAGAAACACUGCUGCUAGUGCUGCUGCUGCUGCUGCUGCUGCUGCUGCUGUGUGCUCUUCCUUCGGCUUCCAUGAGCUCCUUGACUGGCAGUGUCCCCAGGGCUCCAUUUGUCGCUUGGCUGCAGGCACUGGGUGCUGGUCUACAAGCUCCCUCUGGGCCCGGCGCCCUUUCUCACUGUGCAGCAGCAGAGGGCAUUGUCUAGGUACAGCUGCCAACGGUGGACUGCAGAAAGCGUAAUGCUGAGUCACUGCCCAUCAGCGAGCACUGUACGGGUUAAGGAGUAAUCUGGGAUGGGAGCGGCUGCCCAGAGGUGAACUGCGUCACUGCUUGUCAUUUCCACCCUACAAGAAGGAGUGUAUAGGGCUGGUCAGAAAAUAGGUGUGGGGCGGGGGAUUCAGCUCAGUGGUUCUGGUGCCUGCCUCCCAAGUGCAAGGCCCAGAGUUGAUCCCCAGUACCAAAAAGCAAAGCAAAACAAAUAUGGUGUGUUUCAAAUAAAAGAAAAAUUAUUGCAAUAAAAGACACAUUGGCAUCAAUCCCCCUCAGAAUCCUCCCCCUCACUUUGAACACACUUAUCCCAUUUUCUUGCCGCUUUCUGAAGCAGUUCUGGAGUCCUCUUUCAUGAGUGUCUUUACAAGGUGUAAUAAAAAAUAUGAGGAAUGCUGAUGCUGAGUGUCAUCCAACGGAAAACAUAAAAACACCACAGUGUGUUCUCAUCUACUUCAUUCACCACACCCAGCACUGUGGGACUUUUGGUUCUUCUCAAAAGUCAAAAUGACCAUGAAAGACGAACAGUUUGAUUCAAUUCAGGGCACUGAGGCAGACACAACAGUACAACUAGAAAAAUUCAUGAAAGAGGACUCGAAAACUGCUUCAGAAAGGAACAAGAAAAUGGAAUAAAUGUGUUUAAAGUAAGGGCAAGUGUGUUGAGAGGGAUUCAUAGCAAUGUAUCUUUUAUUAUAGUAAAUUUUUUAAAACUUAAAAAUUCAUAUUUUAAUGAUACUUCAAACAUCAUAUUAACUUUAUUCACUUCAUAGAUGUAUUACAUUGGGGUGCAGCUCUGUGGCAGAUCGCUUGCCGAACACAUACAAGAUAGCUCGAGAGUCAAUCCCCAACCCUGAAAAAAAUUACCUCAAAUGCUAAUGACAUUCGAUGGACUCCAAAACAUUUUUAAAUGAAAAAAUUGGAAGAGAUAAUUAAUAAGGAUUCGUCUAGCUUUUUGAUGAGCGUAUGAAGUCUUUGCAAGCUCUUACUGUUUCUCCAGGUGAGUCCUAUCUCCAUACAUGGUCACAAUUUCCUUCCCUGUCACCAGAAGGAACCGCACUCACCUGUGUGCCGUCAGAACAGCUCAAACAUCCAUCACACAGGCUGCCCGAGCCUGAGGGGAGCUGCUGCUUCAAGACGUUUGCUGUUCCUCAGCCUUGCUCAUGAUUUGCUAGGAGGUCGUCAUGCUGUCCUUCUGUGCUUCCCUCCGGUCCCAGACAGACCUGUUACUGGUCCACACUGCUCUGCACCCAUGGUCCCGUCUGCCCUGCUCUUCCCCUCCUUCGCCACCAUGCCCUUUUCUCGUCUCUCCUUGUCAAGCUCUUGCUCAGAUUCCCAAUUUCUAGGCUAGCGCUGACAUUCUCUGUCACCUUGUUUUUUGCUAUUCUUAUAUAGGAUUCUGUUUCUUUAUUAGUGCAUGUUGAUUACACCAAAUAAUGGGUGUCACCGCGGCAUAUUCAUGUGCACAUCCAUCCCCAUCAUACUUCAGUCAGGUCUGUCCCAGAGCCUUCUUCACCUCCCUCCAUCCCUUCCUCUCCUCUGUCUUCUUUCCAGAAGUCUGUGUUCUUUCACAUCAUCUCUUUUUUCUAUGCAUGAAAGAAAACAUGUGAUACUUGUCUUUCUGUAUCUAACUUACUUUACUCAACAUGUUGAUCUUCAGUUCUAUUUUUUUACAAAUGACAUAAUUUCAUUCCUCACUGUGACUGACUAAAGCUCCAUCGUGUAUGGAUUUCACUGUUUCUCCAGUCAUCUGUUGAAGGGGCAUCCAGGCUGGUUCCGUAACUUGGCGAUGUGACUUGUGCUGCAGCAAACAUGGAUGUGCAGGUAUCUCCACAGUAUGCUGACUUUAAUUCCUUUGAGUACAUACCUAGGAGGGAGGUAGUUGGAUCAUACUGUAGUUUUUUUUUUUUUUUUGGUUUUUAAUAUGAGUUCUAUAAAUACCUGAGUCCUGUGAUUUCCUUAUUUGCUUUGCAGUUCAUUUGCUUGGGAGGUGUGGGAAGAUUGUCUUAAAAAGGUGAAUUCCUCAUAUGACAGAGUCUGGCCACAGUGGGAUCUGAUCACACAAACGACCCAGGUGUUCUGAUGAAAGUUGCUGUCCACGCUUCAGGCAGUGUUUAGGAUUUAAAUGAAUGAGCUUCAGGGGAUCUGUGAACCUUCAGAAUUUUUUUACAUUCUAUAUCUUUAUGUCCAUUUGUAUUUUUCUAAGGGAAGGUUUCCUAACUUUCAACAGACUAUUAAAGGAGCCUGUGUCAGAAUUUUUUAAAAAGCAAUCUAUUAAACCAUUAAAUGAGGGUUUCAGAUAAAAGAAAACUUCUUUGUUAUUUGAGGACUAAAACAUAAAUUCAAUAUUGAGGUCUGAUACAUACAUUUUACUGUACAGGGUACUUUGAGACAUCACACACACAGAUCAUGCCUUUCAGAUUGGCUAAGGACACAUGCACACCUGGGCUGCUUUGUUUCAAGGUCUAGAGCCCCAAGGCCUAGCAUCAAAGAGGCGGCACGUGUCUAUCAUGUUGGAGGAAAGAGUGUGCCGAAUUCCAUCCGCGAUUUUCAUGAAAUCAGUAGCUAGAGGAUUAAGAGUCUUGUCUGCAGAUUCUGCCUGGAAAAGAGACAGCCCUGAAGUGUAAACAGUUUUGUGCACCAAGAUCAGUGUAGAGCCUGGUCUCUCAUUCAUCAUGUUCUGGCUCUGUAAUUCUAGACACGUCAUUAGUAUUCCUGGGCUUCUGACGAUGGACUUCUUAUAGCAAUAGUGAUCUUUCUGCCAGGACAUAGGAUCCUAUGAUAUCAUGAGGCUCCCCAGAAUAUAGGCAUGGAUGCAGGUAUACAUACACACAAACCUAUAUACGUAUAUAUGCACACAUACAUAAGAUAUGUAUAAGUGGUGAAGCCCAACCGACCUCCAUUGCUGCUUGACAAAGUUCCAGCUGGGGGAAAGAAAGCAGGGAACACAUCGUACCCUCAUGUUUUAUUUUUUUCUUGCCAUAAUGUUUAUAAUUGUUACUCUGGUCACGGGAGUCAUUGUGUUUGUGACUAACAACAAACUCUCCAUGAGGCAAAUUGGCAAUGAUAUAUUGAAAUCUGAUCUGGCUCAAAAGUCUCAAAUUCCAGUUUCUCUUAGUUCUAUUGCCACAUCCACUCCUAAAGAAACCUCUCCUAAAACCCCCUCUGUUUUCCCACUAUUAUAACUCCCUCUCUUACUGCUGACAUUCUUUUUACUAAAGGGGUCUUAUAAAGAGAUUGAAAGGACAGACUUUAGAUGUAAGAAAUAGUGGGAAAUGGGAAAUAAAAAGAACGUUAAAACAGGUAAAUGCAUUAAGGAGGCAAGUUACUCAAUAUUUCUCAAAGUGCUGUAAAUAUCUCCUGCUCAUGGACUAUGAACCCAAAUGACAUUUAGUUAAGAUGAAUAGAGGUAAAAAGAACAUAGAGAGCUAAUAGCAAACUGUAUUAACCAUUGUGCAGUUUCUCAAGGGCUAGCUGGUGACCACAAGUUUGACAUUUAAUUUGAUUGUUACUUUCUGUUCUGCUUAGGUAUGGGACAAUGAGGGAACAAUUGCAGUUUUUAAGAAAUGUAUUCAUGAUGUUCAAUGAAAUGAAUCAGCUUAGAAAAAAUAUACUGUUUAACAAAAAUAACCUGUACCUCAUCAGAUAUUGCUAAGGCAACAUGUUCCGCCCAAUGCCUCUUCGCUAUUGCUUAAAGAUAUAAAAAUAAAUCAGACCCUGAGACUUCUCAGAGGGAACCUGAACAUUGCUUGUAAAGGUUCUUUUCUCAUCGCUGGCCCAGGACAUCUCCCCUUCCUACCCUACAUCGACUGCAGCUG
This is a long non-coding RNA of Heterocephalus glaber (naked mole-rat), 4572 nucleotides long. The record is from Ensembl. NCBI's taxonomy places the organism in Eukaryota, Metazoa, Chordata, Mammalia, Rodentia, Bathyergidae.